This is a long non-coding RNA of Diabrotica virgifera virgifera (western corn rootworm), 1188 nucleotides long. RefSeq lists it as uncharacterized. Lineage: Eukaryota; Metazoa; Arthropoda; Insecta; Coleoptera; Chrysomelidae. The record is from RefSeq and is a predicted model, not a curated record. The transcript has 2 exons.
AUUGACCAAGUUAUUCAAGGCCAAAUUUGACGUGUAAAAGCACACUUUGACAUCUAAGUUUGUUCGUUAUAAACUUCACGUGAAGAAAUUGACGAAAAAGAAAAUUGUUCUAUUUUUUCAUUUAUUUGUCGUGAAUUCAGUGUCACCAACCUGUGUCCAUUUGGCGGGAAGUGGAAGUAGAGCUGUAGAGCUUUUUGUUUAUUAUUAUUUGUUGAGGUUGAGUCUUUCAUGUUCAUGACAACCUAAAAAUUUUGAUUGGAAAAUGCAUAUAAGAUAAGGGGGUGGGAAAAUGGAAAUUAGUGGCUUUUUUGCAGUUCUGUCUGUUAGUUUUGCUCUGGCUGGGUCUCUUUUGUUUAAACAAUUAUAAUCAGCUGAAAGUGGUCUACAAAAAAACCAGGAAGGAAACGUAUUAUAGCCUUGUUGUGGCUAUGAAAGGCAAAAGAAAGAUACCUAUAAAAAGUGUAUUGACUAGUUGGAAGAAACUCCACAUUGUCGAUGCAUAAUAAGAUAUUACUUUAUAAACAAAUAUCAAGACCUAGGAAUGGAACCUGGAUAAUAUAGUCAUCAAGAAGAUAGCAGGAGGUCAUGAGCAACAACAACUUCAUAAGUAUGAGAAUAUUGAGGAAAUCCAGCUCCUCGAUAUCUACUACUGGACAAACUAGAAGAUUGAAGAGGACAAAGCCUUUUGAACUAGUUUGAGUGAUAGGUGAUAGUGAAAAGCAGAGCGUAGUGCUUGUGUGCCUGUGUAUGUUAGAAUAGUGCACGAUCUUGUUAGAUUAGAUAAGAGACGCUAUAGGGUAAGCUCUUCAUUUUAAGGAACAGUAGUAAUUUAGGUUAAAUUAAAAUUGCUCAUUGGUCAGUUAUGACCAGAUUGUAAUUCUCUGAUGUUUGGCAAUAAGGGCUGAAGUCAGAAUUGCACAUCAAUAAUGUUUUGAUGAUUUCUGGACCAUAAAAAAAGUGUUGCAGACUUAAACUGUAUGUACCAAUAAAAAGAGCCGAUUUUUCUGGUCCAGAAAUCAUCAAAACAUUAUCGAUGUGCAAUUCUGACUUAAGCCCUUUUUCCCAAACAUCAGAGAAUUGCAAUGUACAAUUCAAUACAAAUGAAUCAUCAUCGUAGUGAUGAUUAUGGAAAAAAAUAUAUAUAUAUAGAAAUAUAUAUAUUUUGUGCAAUAAAAAUGUUUAUAUUUA